GAGGGUAUAGCUCCAAGUGGUAGAGCACGUGCUUAGCAUGCACAAGGUCCUGUGUUCAAUCCCCAGUACCUCCU
Camelus ferus (Wild Bactrian camel) is the source of this 74-nucleotide transfer RNA. It matches the Rfam family "tRNA". Rfam says of the family: Transfer RNA (tRNA) molecules are approximately 80 nucleotides in length. Their secondary structure includes four short double-helical elements and three loops (D, anti-codon, and T loops). Further hydrogen bonds mediate the characteristic L-shaped molecular structure. tRNAs have two regions of fundamental functional importance: the anti-codon, which is responsible for specific mRNA codon recognition, and the 3' end, to which the tRNAs corresponding amino acid is attached (by aminoacyl-tRNA synthetases). tRNAs cope with the degeneracy of the genetic code in two manners: having more than one tRNA (with a specific anti-codon) for a particular amino acid; and 'wobble' base-pairing, i.e. permitting non-standard base-pairing at the 3rd anti-codon position. The record is from Rfam. Lineage: Eukaryota; Metazoa; Chordata; Mammalia; Artiodactyla; Camelidae.